Molecule: ribosomal RNA, 253 nt
Filed under: uncultured bacterium
Lineage: Bacteria
Description: partial 16S ribosomal RNA
Rfam family: Bacterial small subunit ribosomal RNA
Source: RNAcentral
UACGAAGGGGGCUAGCGUUGUUCGGAAUCACUGGGCGUAAAGGGCGCGUAGGCGGCUUUAUAAGUCGGGGGUGAAAGCCUGUGGCUCAACCACAGAAUUGCCUUCGAUACUGUAGAGCUUGAGACCGGAAGAGGUAAGUGGAACUGCGAGUGUAGAGGUGAAAUUCGUAGAUAUUCGCAAGAACACCAGUGGCGAAGGCGGCUUACUGGGCCGGUUCUGACGCUGAGGCGCGAAAGCGUGGGGAGCAAACAGG